AUGAUGUCCUUGGGGAUUUUCAGUAGCAGGAGAACAAAACAGCUGAACCAGCAGCCAGUAUUUGGCUCUCUGGGCUUUUUGCAGACGUGGGCACCACCAGUGCCAGCAGCAAAGGAUGGUGCCUCAUGCAGUUCACAAGAAGAAAGUGAGGUGUUGGUGCCAUGGAUCCACCCACUGAGAAGAGUCCCACCAGUGCAAGAGGACUGUAGUAUAGGCAGAAGUACCAGCUUGGCCACAGCUUCCACUGAAUGUUUUUUAUCCUCUGAGAGCUCUGUAAGAUUGGCAUUAUCCUGUAGCAGUGUCACAGCCUGCAGUCAUUUAAUGCCUCUUCUUGUGAGGCCGGGAUUCCACGCCCAAGUGCAUUUAGUAGGUCAGUACAGUAAUUUUAAAUGUCUUUCUUUCAGUCUUUUGCCAUCUUCAAUUAUACCUUUCCACCCUACUAUUUGUGUAAUUUUCUUCUGUCUGAAGUCUCUUUACUGUUGUUCUCUUUUGCACAGCAUGACAAAUUACCCAUCAAGCCGUAUCUUUUCAGCCCAGAAAUGCGCAGUAACACAGAGUCAUGGCAUUAUCACAUGUUGUGCACUUUAUUUCCUCACAGUUCAUUCAAGUGUGUCACUUUAUUUUCCUGCUUCCUUUUGUCAUCAUGAAGAUUAA
Molecule: long non-coding RNA, 654 nt
Filed under: Numida meleagris (helmeted guineafowl)
Lineage: Eukaryota; Metazoa; Chordata; Aves; Galliformes; Numididae
Description: lncRNA (ENSNMEG00000007020.1)
Source: RNAcentral